Molecule: ribosomal RNA, 250 nt
Filed under: uncultured bacterium
Lineage: Bacteria
Description: partial 16S ribosomal RNA
Rfam family: Bacterial small subunit ribosomal RNA
Source: RNAcentral
GCAAGUCGAGCGGUAACAGAACUAGCUUGCUAGUUGCUGACGAGCGGCGGACGGGUGGGUAACGCGCAGGAAUCUACCCAGUAGCGGGGGAUAGCCCAGAGAAAUUUGGAUUAAUACCGCAUACGCCCUUCGGGGGAAAACAGUGGAUCUUCGACCCUUGUGCUAUUGGAUGAGCCUGCGUGAGAUUAGCUUGUUGGUGAGGUAAAAGCUCACCAAGGCGACGAUCUCUAGCUGGUCUGAGAGGAUGAUC